This 522-nucleotide ribosomal RNA is filed under the name Tropidophora fimbriata. Its description in RNAcentral is "partial 16S ribosomal RNA". It matches the Rfam family "Bacterial large subunit ribosomal RNA", at positions 1817 to 2597 of the family's 2925-position model. Lineage: Eukaryota; Metazoa; Mollusca; Gastropoda; Littorinimorpha; Pomatiidae. The record is from RNAcentral.
GUCUCUUUGUUAAUAUUUUAUAGAGAGUUGGGCCUGCCCGGUGAUAGUGAUAUUAUUUAACGGCCGCAGUAUUCUGACUGUGCGAAGGUAGCAUAAUCAUUUGCCUUAUAAUUGAAGGCUAGUAUGAAGGGUUUGACGAGAGUAAUACUGUCUUAAUUUAAUUUUUUGGAAUUUAACUUUUAAGUGAAAAGGCUUAAUAUAUAAUUAAUAGACAAGAAGACCCUAUUGAGCUUUAAAAAGAGUAUGAAUUUUAAAAUGUAGUUUUAUAAUUUAAUUUGUUGGUUUUUUUUGGUUGGGGUGAUCGGAGAACAUUAGUAACUUCUUUAAAUUAUUUAAUUUUAAUUGUGGUUUUUGAUCCAAUAAUGUGUUGAUGUUAGAUUUAGUUACCAUAGGGAUAACAGCAUAAUCUUUUUUGAGAGUUCUUAUCGAAAAAAAGGGUUGUGACCUCGAUGUUGGAUUAAAGUUUCCUAGGGGUGUAGAAGCUUUAUUAUAUAGGUUGGUCUGUUCGACCAUUAAAAUUUU